ACUCCUACGGGAGGCAGCGGUGGGGAAUAUUGUUCAAUGGGCGCAAGCCUGAUCCAGCCAUGCCGCGUGAGUGACGAAGGCCUUAGGGUUGUAAAGCUCUUUUGGCGCGGACAAUAAUGACGGUACCCGCACAAUAAGCUCCGGGUAAGUUCGUGCCUGCAGCCGCGGUAAUACGAAGGGAGCUAGCGUUGUUCGGAAUUACUGGGCGUAAAGCGCACGUCCGCGGAUUUGUUAGUCAGGGGUGAAAUCCCGGGGCCCAACCUCCGAACUGCCUUUGAUACUGCAAGUCUGGAGUCCGGAAGAGGUGGGUGGAAUUCCUAGUGUAGAGGUGAAAUUCGUAGAUAUUAGGAAGAACACCGGUGGCGAAGGCGGCCCACUGGUCCGGUACUGACGCUGAGGUG
This 401-nucleotide ribosomal RNA is filed under the name uncultured Alphaproteobacteria bacterium. RNAcentral's name for it is "bacterial SSU rRNA". It matches the Rfam family "Bacterial small subunit ribosomal RNA", at positions 335 to 753 of the family's 1533-position model. The record is from RNAcentral. Lineage: Bacteria; Pseudomonadati; Pseudomonadota; Alphaproteobacteria.